This 588-nucleotide ribosomal RNA is filed under the name uncultured Mycena. RNAcentral's name for it is "eukaryotic LSU rRNA". It matches the Rfam family "Eukaryotic large subunit ribosomal RNA", at positions 66 to 635 of the family's 3401-position model. The record is from RNAcentral. Lineage: Eukaryota; Fungi; Basidiomycota; Agaricomycetes; Agaricales; Tricholomataceae.
UAACAAGGAUUCCCCUAGUAACUGCGAGUGAAGCGGGAAAAGCUCAAAUUUAAAAUCUGGCGGUUCUUGUAGCCGUCCGAGUUGUAAUUUAGAGAAGUGUUAUCCGCGUUGGACCGUGUACAAGUCUCCUGGAAUGGAGCGUCAUAGAGGGUGAGAAUCCCGUCUUUGACACGGACUGCCAAGGCAUUGUGAUGCGCUCUCAAAGAGUCGAGUUGUUUGGGAAUGCAGCUCAAAAUGGGUGGUAAAUUCCAUCUAAAGCUAAAUAUUGAGGAGAGACCGAUAGCGAACAAGUACCGUGAGGGAAAGAUGAAAAGAACUUUGGAAAGAGAGUUAAACAGUACGUGAAAUUGCUGAAAGGGAAACGCUUGAAGUCAGUCGCGUCGCUCAGGACUCAGCCUUGCUUUGCUUGGUGUACUUCCUGUUCGACGGGUCAGCAUCAAUUUUGGUCGGUGGAUAAAGGCUUAGAGAAUGUGGCAUCUUCGGGUGUGUUAUAGCUCUGGGUCGCAUACAUCGGCUGGGAUUGAGGAACUCAGCACGCCGCARGGCCGGGGACUUGUCCCACGUACGUGCUUAGGAUGCUGGCGUAAU